RNAcentral lists this long non-coding RNA (699 nucleotides) under Capsicum annuum. Its description in RNAcentral is "long non-coding RNA (CANN_LNC009259)". The record is from RNAcentral. Lineage: Eukaryota; Viridiplantae; Streptophyta; Magnoliopsida; Solanales; Solanaceae.
UUAGACAACAGCGUUUUUUUCCAAAGGGUUGAGCCGUCCCUGAUCAAACCAAACAAGAAGUGCUAUGUAUACUCUGAAUUCAAACGGAAAAGAUAAAAUGUAUACCACUUUAGAUGCACAAAACAAGCAUCCCUCAGUGGACAACAUUAUAUCAUAUAUUAAUUACAAUGUCCCUUGCAUUUACAAAGCAUGAAUAGAUUGGAAAACAAAACAAUAAUACUCCACUAUUUAUUUUUUAAAAAAUAGAAGACAAAACAAAUUUAACAAGCAGCUACCAGCUGUAGAGGUGGAACUUUUCACCAAAAAAUUCAAACAUUAACUAUUUAUACGUAAAUAAAAUCUCGACUUUGUAUGUAUAUAGUCAGAUGAACCUCCUUCCGUCCCCUAGCUGCUAACCAAAGCGAAUACGAAUGCGAAAGGCCAAAAUGAGGAUGGUAAAAAAUACGAAAAAAAGUAACGUAUGAAGGAGAAUGGCUUUGCCAUUAGUAGCAAAGCUGCUGAAUUCAACGUGCCGCUGAUUUCCCGGCAGCUGAAAUAUAAGUCCAGGUGAAAGAAGUACAAACAGAAGAUAACCAAUAAUAAUUGGUGCCCAAUCUAACAUUUUUUCUCACUGCUUUGAUCAAUAUAUAGAGAAAUAUAUACUUCAAUGUUGCAGGGAAAUGUAAACAAGAUUGCACAGUAGUAUUGUUUCAAUUUAAC